UGGGGAAUCUUGGACAAUGGGGGCAACCCUGAUCCAGCCAUGCCGCGUGAGUGAUGAAGGCCUUAGGGUCGUAAAGCUCUUUCGCCUGUGAAGAUAAUGACGGUAGCAGGUAAAGAAACCCCGGCUAACUCCGUGCCAGCAGCCGCGGUAAUACGGAGGGGGUUAGCGUUGUUCGGAAUUACUGGGCGUAAAGCGCACGUAGGCGGACCAGAAAGUUGGGGGUGAAAUCCCGGGGGCUCAACCCCGGAACUGCCUCCAAAACUAUUGGUCUAGAGUUCGAGAGAGGUGAGUGGAAUUCCAAGUGUAGAGGUGAAAUUCGUAGAUAUUUGGAGGAACACCAGUGGCGAAGGCGGCUCACUGGCUCGAUACUGACGCUGAGGUGCGAAAAGUGUGGGGAGCAAAACAGGAUUAGAUACCCUGGUAGUCCACGCCGUAAAACGAUGAGUGCUAGUCGUCGGCAGGCAUGCCUGUCGGUGACGCAGCUAACGCAUUAAGCACUCCGCCUGGGGAGUACGGCCGCAGGUUAAAACUCAAA
This 535-nucleotide ribosomal RNA is filed under the name uncultured bacterium. RNAcentral describes it as "bacterial SSU rRNA". It matches the Rfam family "Bacterial small subunit ribosomal RNA", at positions 355 to 905 of the family's 1533-position model. The record is from RNAcentral.